AUACGUAGGGGGCGAGCGUUGUCCGGAAUGAUUGGGCGUAAAGGGCGCGUAGGCGGCCUGGUAAGUCCGGAGUGAAAGUCCUGCUUUUAAGGUGGGAAUUGCUUUGGAUACUGUCGGGCUUGAGUGCAGGAGAGGAAAGCGGAAUUACCGGUGUAGCGGUGAAAUGCGUAGAGAUCGGUAGGAACACCAGUGGCGAAGGCGGCUUUCUGGACUGAAACUGACGCUGAGGCGCGAAAGCGUGGGGAGC
This 247-nucleotide ribosomal RNA is filed under the name uncultured bacterium. Its description in RNAcentral is "partial 16S ribosomal RNA". It matches the Rfam family "Bacterial small subunit ribosomal RNA", at positions 523 to 769 of the family's 1533-position model. The record is from RNAcentral.